UUCAUCCUGAUGUGUUCGUCUAUUAAAAGUAUUUUGACCGAACAACUGUAAAAAUGGGAGUCUAAUUGGUUUUUAAUGUGCGUGCAAGCCUAAAUUUGUAGGAGGCACAAUAUCUUUAAAACAGGACACCCACCUGCUGAUAGCGGGAUCAAAGCUUGAAAUAAGACGGCACAAUCGGGAUUGAG
This 185-nucleotide non-coding RNA is filed under the name Oceanobacillus kimchii. Its description in RNAcentral is "6S RNA". It matches the Rfam family "6S / SsrS RNA". From Rfam's summary of the family: E. coli 6S RNA was the first non coding RNA to be sequenced, but its function was unknown until recently. RNAcentral also lists the same sequence under 3 other names. The record is from RNAcentral. Lineage: Bacteria; Bacillati; Bacillota; Bacilli; Caryophanales; Bacillaceae.